RNAcentral lists this ribosomal RNA (253 nucleotides) under uncultured bacterium. RNAcentral's name for it is "partial 16S ribosomal RNA". It matches the Rfam family "Bacterial small subunit ribosomal RNA", at positions 524 to 776 of the family's 1533-position model. The record is from RNAcentral.
UACGAAGGGGGCUAGCGUUGUUCGGAUUUACUGGGCGUAAAGCGCACGUAGGCGGAUUGUUAAGUCAGAGGUGAAAUCCUGGAGCUCAACUCCAGAACUGCCUUUGAUACUGGCAAUCUAGAGUCCGGAAGAGGUAAGUGGAACUCCUAGUGUAGAGGUGGAAUUCGUAGAUAUUAGGAAGAACACCAGUGGCGAAGGCGGCUUACUGGUCCGGUACUGACGCUGAGGUGCGAAAGCGUGGGGAGCAAACAGG